UACGUAGGGGGCAAGCGUUGUCCGGAUUUAUUGGGCGUAAAGAGCGUGUAGGCGGCCAUACAGGUCAGCUGUGAAAACUCGAGGCUCAACCUCGAGACGUCGGUUGAAACCGUAUGGCUAGAGUCCGGAAGAGGAGAGUGGAAUUCCCGGUGUAGCGGUGAAAUGCGCAGAUAUCGGGGAAGAACACCCGUGGCGAAGGCGGCUCUCUGGGACGGUACUGACGCGUGAGACGCGAAAGCGUGGGGAGCGAACAGG
Molecule: ribosomal RNA, 255 nt
Filed under: uncultured bacterium
Lineage: Bacteria
Description: partial 16S ribosomal RNA
Rfam family: Bacterial small subunit ribosomal RNA
Source: RNAcentral